RNAcentral lists this ribosomal RNA (492 nucleotides) under uncultured Actinomycetes bacterium. Its description in RNAcentral is "bacterial SSU rRNA". It matches the Rfam family "Bacterial small subunit ribosomal RNA", at positions 28 to 507 of the family's 1533-position model. The record is from RNAcentral. Lineage: Bacteria; Bacillati; Actinomycetota; Actinomycetes.
GACGAACGCUGGCGGCGCGCCUAACACAUGCAAGUCGAGCGAGAACUAUUCCUUCGGGGAUAGGGACAGCGGCGAACGGGUGAGUAACACGUGGGUAAUCUGCCCUCGGUUCUGGGAUAGCCCGGGGAAACCCGGAUUAAUACCGGAUGGCCUCUCGAGCCCUCGGGCGCGAGAGAAAAGGUAGCUUCGGCCUCCGACCGAGGAUGAGCCCGCGGCCGAUUAGCUUGUUGGUGAGGUAAUGGCUCACCAAGGCAACGAUCGGUAGCUGGUCUGAGAGGACGAUCAGCCACACUGGGACUGAGACACGGCCCAGACUCCUACGGGAGGCAGCAGUGGGGAAUCUUGCGCAAUGGGCGAAAGCCUGACGCAGCGACGCCGCGUACGGGAAGAAGGCCUUCGGGUUGUAAACCGUUUUCAGGAGGGACGAAGCCACUCGGGUGAAUAGCCCAGAGGGUGACGGUACCUCCAGAAGAAGCCCCGGCUAACUACGUG